This 253-nucleotide ribosomal RNA is filed under the name uncultured bacterium. RNAcentral describes it as "partial 16S ribosomal RNA". It matches the Rfam family "Bacterial small subunit ribosomal RNA", at positions 524 to 776 of the family's 1533-position model. The record is from RNAcentral.
UACGUAGGGAGCAAGCGUUGUUCGGAUUUACUGGGCGUAAAGGGCGCGUAGGCGGCGCGGUAAGUCACUUGUGAAAUCUCUGAGCUUAACUCAGAACGGCCAAGUGAUACUGCAGUGCUAGAGUGCAGAAGGGGCAAUCGGAAUUCUUGGUGUAGCGGUGAAAUGCGUAGAUAUCAAGAGGAGCACCUGAGGUGAAGACGGGUUGCUAGGCUGACACUGACGCUGAGGCGCGAAAGCCAGGGGAGCAAACGGG